This 255-nucleotide long non-coding RNA is filed under the name Anas platyrhynchos platyrhynchos (common mallard). RNAcentral describes it as "lncRNA (ENSAPLG00000028720.1)". The record is from RNAcentral. Lineage: Eukaryota; Metazoa; Chordata; Aves; Anseriformes; Anatidae.
GGCCAAGUCCUUAGCUUUUGGCUAAAUACUAACUGUUCAAAGUUGAUGCCUCAUGAAGGCACUGAUAACACUCCUACCCUGUGCAUGGUUAUGAUCUGUGGAUAUUCCCAGUGCUGGUCUAUUUUUCCCCAAAUCUUCAACCAACCUAAAUUCCACCAAAUUUUGAUUGCCUCAGAAAUAUUUCAGGAGCUUUUCUGUUCACUUCCUGGAUGUUAUUUUCAAAUCCUCGGUGGUAAAGGGAAUGGAGGCCAAUGA